Molecule: long non-coding RNA, 206 nt
Filed under: Carica papaya (papaya)
Lineage: Eukaryota; Viridiplantae; Streptophyta; Magnoliopsida; Brassicales; Caricaceae
Description: long non-coding RNA (CPAP_LNC003713)
Source: RNAcentral
UGAGGAAUAAUCUUCAAGGUCUCUGCUGUCUCCAGAAGUGUCUCCACGGUUUUGGGAUAAAUCUUCCAAAAACAAAGCUCAUUGGUUUCAAUCGAGGCAUUCACGCAUCAGCACGUAGGUAAAAGGCUAACCCAUUCCGCUUCCUCCAUGUUUUAAUUCAUAUGAUUCAUACAAAUUAUUUAUACUACAAGCUACCCAGAACUGAU